This 641-nucleotide ribosomal RNA is filed under the name Paenibacillus sp. I13B-01787. Its description in RNAcentral is "bacterial SSU rRNA". It matches the Rfam family "Bacterial small subunit ribosomal RNA", at positions 100 to 729 of the family's 1533-position model. The record is from RNAcentral. Lineage: Bacteria; Bacillati; Bacillota; Bacilli; Caryophanales; Paenibacillaceae.
GACGGGUGAGUAACACGUAGGCAACCUGCCUGUAAGACUGGGAUAACUACCGGAAACGGUAGCUAAGACCGGAUAGCUGGUUUCUCCGCAUGGAGAGAUCAUGAAACACGGUGCAAGCUGUGACUUACAGAUGGGCCUGCGGCGCAUUAGCUAGUUGGCGGGGUAACGGCCCACCAAGGCGACGAUGCGUAGCCGACCUGAGAGGGUGAUCGGCCACACUGGGACUGAGACACGGCCCAGACUCCUACGGGAGGCAGCAGUAGGGAAUCUUCCGCAAUGGGCGCAAGCCUGACGGAGCAACGCCGCGUGAGUGAUGAAGGUUUUCGGAUCGUAAAGCUCUGUUGCCAAGGAAGAACACUUGGGAGAGUAACUGCUCCUAAGAUGACGGUACUUGAGAAGAAAGCCCCGGCUAACUACGUGCCAGCAGCCGCGGUAAUACGUAGGGGGCAAGCGUUGUCCGGAAUUAUUGGGCGUAAAGCGCGCGCAGGCGGUCUUUUAAGUCUGGUGUUUAAGCCCGGGGCUCAACCCCGGUUCGCAUCGGAAACUGGAAGACUUGAGUGCAGGAGAGGAAAGCGGAAUUCCACGUGUAGCGGUGAAAUGCGUAGAGAUGUGGAGGAACACCAGUGGCGAAGGCGGCUUUC